RNAcentral lists this ribosomal RNA (253 nucleotides) under uncultured bacterium. RNAcentral's name for it is "partial 16S ribosomal RNA". It matches the Rfam family "Bacterial small subunit ribosomal RNA", at positions 524 to 776 of the family's 1533-position model. The record is from RNAcentral.
UACGCAGGGUGCGAGCGUUAAUCGGAAUUACUGGGCGUAAAGCGUGCGCAGGCGGUUUUUUAAGACAGGCGUGAAAUCCCCGGGCUUAACCUGGGAACGGCGCUUGUGACUGGAAGGCUAGAGUACGGCAGAGGGGGGUGGAAUUCCACGUGUAGCAGUGAAAUGCGUAGAUAUGCGGAGGAACACCGAUGGCGAAGGCAAUCCCCUGGACCUGUACUGACGCUCAUGCACGAAAGCGUGGGGAGCAAACAGG